Molecule: ribosomal RNA, 253 nt
Filed under: uncultured bacterium
Lineage: Bacteria
Description: partial 16S ribosomal RNA
Rfam family: Bacterial small subunit ribosomal RNA
Source: RNAcentral
UACGAAGGGUGCUAGCGUUGUUCGGAAUUACUGGGCGUAAAGCGCACUCAGGCGGAUUUAUAAGUCAGGGGUGAAAUCCCGGGGCUCAACCUCGGAAUUGGCUUUGAUACUGUCUAUCUUGAGUUCGGGAGAGGUGAGUGGAAUUCCUAGUGUAGAGGUGAAAUUCGUAGAUAUUAGGAAGAACACCAGUGGCGAAGGUGGCUCACGGGCCCGGUACUGACUACCGUGUGCGAAAGCGUGGGGAGCAAACAGG